ACGAACGCUGGCGGCGUGCUUAACACAUGCAAGUCGAACGAAGAGCGACGGAAGCUUGCUUCUAUCAAUCUUAGUGGCGAACGGUUGAGUAACGCGUAAUCAACCUUCCCUUCAGAGGGGGACAACAGUUGGAAACGACUGCUAAUACCGCAUACGUUCUAACCUCGGCAUCGAUGAUCGAUGAUAGGUUUCCUCUACAUGUAAGCUAUCACUGCAGGAGGGGUUUUCGUCUGAUUACCUAGUUGGAGGUGUAACGGCCCACCAAGGCGAUGAUCAGUAGCCGGUCUGAGAGGAUGAACGGCCAAAUUGGGAAGGAGACACGGCCCAGACGAAUACGGGAGGCAGCAGUGGGGAAUCAUCCGCAAUGGACGAAAGUCUGACGGAGCAACGCCGCGUGAGUGAGGAAGGCAUUCGGGUUGUAAAGCUCUGUUAAUCGGGAAGAAAGGCCUUCUUGCGAAUAGUGAGAAGGAUUGACGGUACCGGAAUAGAAAGCAACGGCUAACUACGUG
RNAcentral lists this ribosomal RNA (509 nucleotides) under uncultured bacterium. Its description in RNAcentral is "partial 16S ribosomal RNA". It matches the Rfam family "Bacterial small subunit ribosomal RNA", at positions 29 to 507 of the family's 1533-position model. The record is from RNAcentral.